This 2241-nucleotide long non-coding RNA is filed under the name Canis lupus dingo (dingo). RNAcentral describes it as "lncRNA (ENSCAFG00020004317.1)". Lineage: Eukaryota; Metazoa; Chordata; Mammalia; Carnivora; Canidae. The record is from RNAcentral.
AUGGGAGUGCCUAAGCCUGCCGAGGUAGUAGAAGAGUAUGUGACCCCUUUGUUCAGAAAUCCCCCAAACACACUCCCAGGGGGUGACAUGCACUUGUCAUUAAUGCAGCAGCGACACUGGGCUGGCCCAGCCUGGGUACUCCUGCCUGUGCGUGUUGUCCUGAAGCUGGACAUGAGGAACCACGAGAGGGCACUGUCCAAAAGUCUCUCGCCUGGAAAUGCUGGAGAAGCCAGAGGAGAAGCCUGUCUGCUGCCCACCCGGGGACCAAGGACACCAAGCCAUCAGAGAAAACAUCCUUUGAAAAAAUGUGCUGGAGAAUGUGGCCAAGCCACUGCCAUGCAUCAAAGCAGCCACACCCAACUGACAAGGAAACUGAAGAGCUCCUCAGCCUUUAUCAGGAAGGAAUUCUCUCCACCCGUCCUGGGGCUCUGGCCCUUGUCCUCAUCCUUAUCCUAGACUUCUGUCCUAGCCUGGUGAUUGGGGAGGUGGGACAAUAAGCCUUCCAGUACUGUGGGACAUGCAUGCAGAGUGGGGGGUGGGGGUGGGGAGCCUAGGGGACAAUGGGACAUGCCUAGGGCAAGGUCUCAGGAGGCAGGAACACUGAAAUGGGGGAACAGAAGCACUCAGCAAGCAGGGCAGAAUGAGCAGAGGGAAAAACAACUCCUGGGAAUGUGUCUGGCUCUUUAGAAUGCAAAUGAAGGGCCUGAACUAAAGAUGAGCAUUGGAUUUCUAAGACAUUAAAGGAUCCUAUAACAGAAUCUCUUUCAACCUGAGGUAAAUCCCCUGAAUUCCCUUUCCAGAGGUCUUUUACAGUCCACUGAGAGCUGUUCCUUUGCUGUAAACCCAUUUCUCCUGGCUUCUGGAACAAUGGUCAGCUUCCUGUGUGUGAUGAGUUCUUCCUAGCCAUGGACAGAGCAGAACCUACAGGUUGUUUCAGGGGGUGGGAUGACUGGCUUUCCCAUCUGGUGAGUACAUGGCUGGUCCCUCAUGAGAAUGGUGGCCUGGCUAAUGGCUCACUCCCAGGGGACCAUGUAGAGCAGUCAUGUGCUCCGGGAGGUGCAGUUAGCCAGGAGAUCCCAGGGGGUGGUGGUGACAUAGUGCUCCUCAGCCAAGAACUGCAGCGUUCUGAAGAGAGCUGUCUUGGUUCUCUCAAUGGCUGCAGAAUCCAAGGAACAAAUGCCACUGCUCGACAGUGGGCCACGCUGGGGGAGCGGGCCAAGGGGUGGGAUGGGGAGUGCAGCAUCCAGGCUUUGGAAAACACUGAUUGGAGACCUCGCAUCCAGAGUGUGAAGGGUUCCUUUAAGGGGUGAGUGUUUCUGGUUGAGGGUUGUCCCCCCCCCCCCCCAUUCAACACUGUAUCUACUUUAUUAUUCAUUACUCAUUCAGUGGUCAUCUCCAUCUUCAGGUGUCAGAGAGAAGGACUCGGACAUUUUUGGGGGCCAGUAUUCUGACUGCAGUUCCCUUGAAUAGCAUAUUAACUUAUGUGGAUCUUCUGGAAGGUUCCUACACUUCAAGCCAGGCCUUCAUCUGUGGCUGUACCUCCGAUGAGGGAGGCUGGGCAUGCAGAUUUCCUUUUCAGCAGUGAUGCCCCCUGCUUUACUCUGGGCUCAGAGGAGACCACUUGCCAUGUCAUCAUGCCUGUUUUAUAGAAGGGGCAGCUGAGCCUCAGAGAGGCUGAGUUCUCCUUGGUCACCCAGCUGGUAAGAGGCAGAGCCAUAAUUCAGUAACUGAGCUGCACUGUUUCUCCUUUGUGUCAGAUGUGCAGCAACCCGGCUGGGUUAGAUCCAUGUCACGUGAGGAGUGUCAAGCUCAGAGAGGUGUAGUGACUUGUUUGGGGUUCUACAGCUGUAAUUGCAGAGCUGAGAUUCAAAGCCAUUCCAUCUGACCCCGGUUCCCCUAACAUGGCCCUGUGGGUCCUAGUUCCAGGAAGCCCGUAUGGGUGAAUUUUGCAACUAAUAGCCUGUUUCCCACACCCCAGAUAUCUAAUAACACUGUGCUGGGCUCUUGCCAGGCAGCUGUGAGGGAUUUCCACUCGUACAGCCCUUGCCUGGGGUUGUGUCUCCAUCAUAGAUGGAAGAUGUGCUACAGGUUCCUGAUAAUACUGGCUGGGAUUAACCUUCUCUGCCAGCUGGACCAAGUUUACCAAGUCAGUACCUUGUACGGUGCUUAACACAGAGCUUGGCUCACAUGGCGUACUCGGUAGGUGUUGUGUUAAAUAAAUGAGUAUAUUCAUGAAUUACA